UACAGAGGUGGCAAGCGUUGUUCGGAAUUACUGGGCGUAAAGGGCGCGUAGGCGGCCUACUAAGUCAGACGUGAAAUCCCCCGGCUUAACCUGGGAACUGCGUCUGAUACUGGAAGGCUUGAGGAUGGGAGAGGGAUGUAGAAUUCCAGGUGUAGCGGUGAAAUGCGUAGAUAUCGGGAGGAACACCUGUGGCGAAAGCGGCGCACUGGACCACAACUGACGCUGAGGCGCGAAAGCUAGGGGAGCAAACAGG
RNAcentral lists this ribosomal RNA (253 nucleotides) under uncultured bacterium. RNAcentral's name for it is "partial 16S ribosomal RNA". It matches the Rfam family "Bacterial small subunit ribosomal RNA", at positions 524 to 776 of the family's 1533-position model. The record is from RNAcentral.